This 600-nucleotide ribosomal RNA is filed under the name Lyomyces sp. 9 MPM-2012. RNAcentral's name for it is "eukaryotic LSU rRNA". The stretch from base 204 to 357 matches the Rfam family "5.8S ribosomal RNA". Lineage: Eukaryota; Fungi; Basidiomycota; Agaricomycetes; Hymenochaetales; Schizoporaceae. The record is from RNAcentral.
ACAGGACUUGAUGCUGGUCUGCGUUAGUAGACAUGUGCUCAGUUCUGCUCAAUCCAUUCAACACCUGUGCACUUUCAAAGUUGUAGUCCUCCGUCAUGGGAGCUGCGUCUUGUAAUGAGAUGCUGGGACUACGCUUUGCCCAUUAUCACAAACCAAUUUGAAGUCAUGUAGAAUGUUACUAGCCUAAGGGCUUAAUCUAAUACAACUUUCAACAACGGAUCUCUUGGCUCUCGCAUCGAUGAAGAACGCAGCGAAAUGCGAUAAGUAAUGUGAAUUGCAGAAUUCAGUGAAUCAUCGAAUCUUUGAACGCACCUUGCACUCCUUGGUAUUCCGAGGAGUAUGCCUGUUUGAGUGUCUUGUAAUCAUCAAUCUAGCUUUGCUUUUGUGAAGUUGGAUUGGAUUUGGAGACUGCUGGUCUUACGACUGGCUUCUCUUGAAUGCAUUAGUUGGACUGAGUUACAAUGCUACGUGUAGUGUGAUAAUAUCUUCACUGCAUAGUUGUAAUGAAGACUGGCUUCUAACAGUCCUUCGCUGGACAAUACUUGACCAUUAGACCUCAAAUCAGGUAGGACUACCCGCUGAACUUAAGCAUAUCAAUAA